This 253-nucleotide ribosomal RNA is filed under the name uncultured prokaryote. Its description in RNAcentral is "partial 16S ribosomal RNA". It matches the Rfam family "Bacterial small subunit ribosomal RNA", at positions 524 to 776 of the family's 1533-position model. The record is from RNAcentral.
GACGAAGGGUGCAAGCGUUAUUCGGAAUCACUGGGCGUAAAGGGCUCGUAGGUGGCCAACUAAGUCAGACGUGAAAUCCCUCGGCUUAACCGGGGAACUGCUUCUGAUACUGGAUGGCUUGAGUUUGGGAGAGGGAUGCGGAAUUCCAGGUGUAGCGGUGAAAUGCGUAGAUAUCUGGAGGAACACCGGUGGCGAAGGCGGCAUCCUGGACCAACACUGACACUGAUGAGCGAAAGCCAGGGGAGCAAACGGG